UACAGAGGUGGCAAGCGUUGUUCGGAAUUACUGGGCGUAAAGAGCGCGCAGGCGGUCGUUCAAGUCGCGUGUGAAAGCCCCCGGCUCAACUGGGGAGGGUCACGCGAUACUGAUCGACUCGAAGGCAGGAGAGGGUAGUGGAAUUCCCGGUGUAGUGGUGAAAUGCGUAGAUAUCGGGAGGAACACCUGUGGCGAAGGCGGCCCCCUGGUUGGAUACUGACGCUGAUACGCGAAAGCGUGGGGAGCAAACAGG
RNAcentral lists this ribosomal RNA (253 nucleotides) under uncultured bacterium. RNAcentral describes it as "partial 16S ribosomal RNA". It matches the Rfam family "Bacterial small subunit ribosomal RNA", at positions 524 to 776 of the family's 1533-position model. The record is from RNAcentral.